RNAcentral lists this ribosomal RNA (465 nucleotides) under uncultured bacterium. RNAcentral describes it as "partial 16S ribosomal RNA". It matches the Rfam family "Bacterial small subunit ribosomal RNA", at positions 338 to 795 of the family's 1533-position model. The record is from RNAcentral.
CCUACGGGUGGCAGCAGUGAGGAAUAUUGCACAAUGGGGGAAACCCUGAUGCAGCGACGCCGCGUGAGUGAAGAAGUAUCUCGGUAUGUAAAGCUCUGUUGGUCGUGACGAAAGAUAGAGGUAGUAACUGGCCUUUAUUUGACGGUAAUUACUUAGAAAGUCACGGCUAACUACGUGCCAGCCGCCGCGGUAAUACGUAGGUGGCAAGCGUUGUACGGAUUUUUUGGGCGUAAAGCGAGUGCAGGCGGUUCAAUAAGUCUGAUGUGAAAGCCUGCGGCUCAACCGGAGAAUUGCAUCAGAAACUGUUGAACUUGAGUGCAGAAGAGGAGAGUGGAACUCCAUGUGUAGCGGUGGAAUGCGUAGAUAUAUGGAAGAACACCAGUGGCGAAGGCGGCUCUCUGGUCUGCAACUGACGCUGAGGCUCGAAAGCAUGGGUAGCGAACAGGAUUAGAUACCCUUGUAGUC